UCCUCGGUAGCUCAAUUGGUAGAGCGAGCGGCUGUUAACCGCUAGGUUCGGGGUUCAAGUCCCUGCCGAGGAG
RNAcentral lists this transfer RNA (73 nucleotides) under Candidatus Electryonea clarkiae. RNAcentral's name for it is "tRNA-Asn". It matches the Rfam family "tRNA". From Rfam's summary of the family: Transfer RNA (tRNA) molecules are approximately 80 nucleotides in length. Lineage: Bacteria; Pseudomonadati; Candidatus Electryoneota; Candidatus Electryoneia; Candidatus Electryoneales; Candidatus Electryoneaceae. The record is from RNAcentral.